UCCUUCCAAUGAACACCCAGGACUGAUCUCCUUUAGGAUGGACAGGUUGGACCUCCUUGCAGUCCAAGGGACUCUCAAGAGAUUUCUCCAACACCACAGUUCAAAAGCAUCAAUUCAGGAGUGUUGGCUGGGACGGAGCAGGAGCGGAGCGGCCGAGAGGAGCUACCCCACAUCCAAGACUGAAGACCCCAAGAAAGAAAAAAAUACGUGCAUAUGAUGAGAAGAUUGAGAUUCAAAAGAUCGAUCAACUUGCCUGAAAUUUUGACAUAGCAUUUUUCAGUGAGCACCGUUAGAAACAGAACCCUGGGAAUGGAAGGAAAUUUAACACUUUGGAUAUGAAAAUCAGUCUGCAAAGUUGUCCAUCCACUGGGGAAAAAAUCUGACAGAUAUGAUUAAUGACAUAAACAUGAAAUCAAUAUAGCAAGGCAACUUAGGAAACUGCUGAUGUAAAGGUUUGGGAGAAGGAAAUGCUCACGUGUAGGCUUAAGUAAAAAUAAUGAAAGAGGAAAUACUAAAUUAAGGCUAUUUGGUUCCUUUUGUCUUAACAAUAGAGAGUUGGAACUAUUUGGUUCCAACUUGAUUUGGAAACUUGAUUUGCCUUCACAAAGACAUGAUAUAUAAAAUGAACUCAUUUUGCUUCAAGACAUUUCCCAUCAAUACCAACUUAUAGCACAAGAACUAAAAAAUAAUUAUAGUCAUAACUUUAGAUUUACAGCAAUUAGGCUGAGUAAAAUAGAAGCAACCCAAAUGAAUAUUGUUAUAUUUUUCAUUAUUAAGAAUUAAGCCAUGUUUGGUUUGUAUUUGUGCCCAAGACAUAAAUUAUUUCUCUAUUAGAUCACCUUUAAAUAUUAAAUUCAAAUGGACUCAUAGUUCUGUCCUUCAUAGCUUUUAAGUGCAGUGUUCUAAUUCAAGCAAGGGACUUAAAUAUUUAUGAAGUGGACACUGGUGGAAGGAUAGUCUACCUUCUCAUUUAAGGUAGUAAGUUAUCAGGCUGAUUACAAUAGAUCCAGAUAUUUUGUUGUUGUUAUUGUUUUUAGGCUCAUACAAGUUUUCAUAUAACAUGUGAGAACAUUUUUUUAAAUAUACAUCAAAUUAAGGAACUUAGUGUUAACCAACAGCAAAAUCAAUCAUGUUAGAAAAUAUCCCCAAUUAUCCUAGUCAUUUUUUAUCCUGAUAUCUUCCAUCUUUUAAACUUAGAGAAAAUUAAAAGCACUGAAAACUCAGAUUUCACUUUAAUUUGAAACCACGUGACUAUGUCAGGUUUCAGAAGUCUCUGCUACCUUUACCCAGACAGUUUUCCAUGAGUCAAACUAAAGUCUCCUAAAGAACCAGAAUUCACCAUAACUGAGACGCCGACAGUAACAGCAUAACGAAACACUGGAGAACAGUGCUUUCAGAAGGGGCACGCUGACCUGAGGAUACACACAACAUUCAAAGUGAUCUGGGGACUAGAGACAGAGACUCGGGCUGAGGGCACAUUGCAAGUCUCCUCAAAGAUGUCCUUGGCCGAGGAUGAGGAUAGAACCCAGAACUGCUGACCGCAGCAACUGGAGUAAAUCCUGAAACCACACAACCAUUUAACAGAACACACAGAUACUUGUUUUCUGUACAUGUAUAUUGGGGUUUGGAUAGGAUUUCAAAAUUGUUCACACUCAGCAUCUUCUGUUUCCAGGAUCUCAUUUGAUGAGCCCUUCUCUUUCCAUUAUUUGAUCAGAAGACAUGGAAAAUUUGACUCUACUUCACUUUUCUAUUUAUCUCAGAAUUAAGUUUUAUGCUCCAUUUGCCAUCUGCUGUGUUUGUGUUCUCUGCCCUUUUUAACCCUGUACUGAAAGAAGCUUUAGACCCAUUUGGAUGAUAUUCAUUUGCAAGCAAUGGAUGAAAUCAGAAUAAUA
Long non-coding RNA from Cervus elaphus (red deer), 1892 nucleotides. RefSeq lists it as uncharacterized. The record is from RefSeq and is a predicted model, not a curated record. NCBI's taxonomy places the organism in Eukaryota, Metazoa, Chordata, Mammalia, Artiodactyla, Cervidae. The transcript has 3 exons.